AGAGUUUGAUCCUGGCUCAGGAUGAACGCUGGCGGCGUGCUUAACACAUGCAAGUCGAAUGUAGCAAUACAUGGCGGACGGGUGAGUAACGCGUGAGCAAUCUGCCCAUAUCUGGGGGAUAACCGUUGGAAACGACGGAUAAUACCGCAUAACGUCAUUGGAAGGCAUCUUCCUUUGAUCAAAGAUUUAUCGGAUAUGGAUGAGCUCGCGUCUGAUUAGCUUGUUGGUGGGGUAACGGCUCACCAAGGCGACGAUCAGUAGCCGACCUGAGAGGGUGAUCGGCCACAUUGGAACUGAGACACGGUCCAAACUCCUACGGGAGGCAGCAGUGGGGAAUAUUGGUCAAUGGAGGAAACUCUGAACCAGCAACGCCGCGUGAAUGAUGAAGGUCUUCGGAUUGUAAAGUUCUUUUCUAAGGGAAGAAGAAAGUGACGGUACCUUAGGAAUAAGCCUCGGCUAACUACGUGCCAGCAGCCGCGGUAAUACGUAGGAGGCAAGCGUUAUCCGGAAUGACUGGGCGUAAAGGGUGCGUAGGUGGUUUGGUAAGUUGGUAGCGUAACUCCGGGGCUCAACUCCGGCACUACUACCAAAACUGCCGGACUUGAGUGCAGGAGGGGCAACCGGAAUUCCUAGUGUAGCGGUGGAAUGCGUAGAUAUUAGGAGGAACACCAGAGGCGAAGGCGGGUUGCUGGACUGUAACUGACACUGAGGCACGAAAGCGUGGGGAGCAAACAGGAUUAGAUACCCUGGUAGUCCACGCCGUAACGAUGAAUACUAGGUGUAGGGGGUAUCGACUCCCU
RNAcentral lists this ribosomal RNA (800 nucleotides) under uncultured bacterium. RNAcentral describes it as "bacterial SSU rRNA". It matches the Rfam family "Bacterial small subunit ribosomal RNA", at positions 8 to 842 of the family's 1533-position model. The record is from RNAcentral.